CAGCCGCCACGGUAAUACGAAGGGUGCAAGCGUUACUCGGAAUUACUGGGCGUAAAGCGUGUGUAGGUGGUUGUUUAAGUCUGUCGUGAAAGCCCUGGGCUCAACCUGGGAAUUGCGAUGGAUACUGGGCGACUAGAGUGCGGUAGAGGAUAGUGGAAUUUCCGGUGUAGCAGUGAAAUGCGUAGAGAUCGGAAGGAACAUCUGUGGCGAAGGCGACUAUCUGGGCCAACACUGACACUGAGACACGAAAGCGUGGGGAGCAAACAGGAUUAGAUACCCCCGUAGUCCCUGUCUCUUAUAC
This 301-nucleotide ribosomal RNA is filed under the name uncultured bacterium. Its description in RNAcentral is "partial 16S ribosomal RNA". It matches the Rfam family "Bacterial small subunit ribosomal RNA", at positions 509 to 807 of the family's 1533-position model. The record is from RNAcentral.